This 492-nucleotide ribosomal RNA is filed under the name uncultured bacterium. RNAcentral's name for it is "partial 16S ribosomal RNA". It matches the Rfam family "Bacterial small subunit ribosomal RNA", at positions 29 to 507 of the family's 1533-position model. The record is from RNAcentral.
AGUGAACGCUGGCGGUAGGCCUAACACAUGCAAGUCGAACGGCAGCACAGUAAGAGCUUGCUCUUACGGGUGGCGAGUGGCGGACGGGUGAGGAAUACAUCGGAAUCUACUUUUUCGUGGGGGAUAACGUAGGGAAACUUACGCUAAUACCGCAUACGACCUACGGGUGAAAGCGGGGGAUCUUCGGACCUUGCGCGAUUGAAUGAGCCGAUGUCGGAUUAGCUAGUUGGCGGGGUAAAGGCCCACCAAGGCGACGAUCCGUAGCUGGUCUGAGAGGAUGAUCAGCCACACUGGAACGGAGACACGGUCCAGACUCCUACGGGAGGCAGCAGUGGGGAAUAUUACACAAUGGGCGCAAGCCUGAUCCAGCCAUCCCGCGUGGGUGAAGAAGGCCUUCGGGUUGUAAAGCCCUUUUGUUGGGAAAGAAAAGCAGCAGGUUAAUACCCCGCUGUUCUGACGGUACCCAAAGAAUAAGCACCGGCUAACUUCGUG